GUCCUGGCAGUAAACGGUGCACGUUUGGUGUGGGAGGAUUCGACCCCUUCUGCGCCGGAGCUAACGCGUUAAACGUGCCGCCUGGGGAGUACGGUCGCAAGAUUAAAACUCAAAGAAAUUGACGGGGCCAGCACAAGCGGUGGAGUAUGUGGCUUAAUUCGAUGCAACGCGAAGAACCUUACCUGGCCUUGACAUGCAUCUCUAAGCUGGUGAAAGCCAGUGAGUCUCGAAAGAGACAAUUUGCACAGGUGCUGCAUGGCUGUCGU
RNAcentral lists this ribosomal RNA (266 nucleotides) under uncultured bacterium. RNAcentral describes it as "partial 16S ribosomal RNA". It matches the Rfam family "Bacterial small subunit ribosomal RNA", at positions 793 to 1055 of the family's 1533-position model. The record is from RNAcentral.